This 460-nucleotide ribosomal RNA is filed under the name uncultured bacterium. Its description in RNAcentral is "bacterial SSU rRNA". It matches the Rfam family "Bacterial small subunit ribosomal RNA", at positions 339 to 791 of the family's 1533-position model. The record is from RNAcentral.
UUACGGGAGGCAGCAGUGGGGAAUUUUGCGCAAUGGACGAAAGUCUGACGCAGCAACGCCGCGUGGGUGAUGAAGGUCUUCGGAUUGUAAAACCCUGUCGUCGAGGACGAAGGUGAGGGCGUUAAUAGCGUCUUUGCUUGACGGUACUCGGAGAGGAAGCCCCGGCUAACUCUGUGCCAGCAGCCGCGGUAAUACAGAGGGGGCAAGCGUUAUUCGGAAUUAUUGGGCGUAAAGGGCGCGUAGGCGGUUUUUUAAGUCGGAUGUGUAAUCCCCGGGCUUAACCUGGGAACUGCAUCCGAGACUGGGAGACUAGAGUACUGGAGAGGGUGGUGGAAUUCCUCGUGUAGCGGUGAAAUGCGUAGAGAUGAGGAGGAACACCAGUGGCGAAGGCGGCCACCUGGACAGUAACUGACGCUGAGGCGCGAAAGUGUGGGUAGCAAACAGGAUUAGAUACCCUGGU